CACAUGUGUAGUUAAACAUGCAUUGGUUAUAUUGAAACCUCCACUUUCAGUGUCCAGAGAAAGAAGACAGAUGCCCAAACCAGGAAGGAAUUUGUUGAAACAAACAAGUGCUUCGCCAUGUCUAUCAUGCUGCGUAAAGCAUCCCCUGCAUCUAAAAACUCAGAAAACGAAUGAGGUCCUAGAAAGUCGUAGAU
Long non-coding RNA from Gambusia affinis (western mosquitofish), 194 nucleotides. RefSeq lists it as uncharacterized. The record is from RefSeq and is a predicted model, not a curated record. NCBI's taxonomy places the organism in Eukaryota, Metazoa, Chordata, Actinopteri, Cyprinodontiformes, Poeciliidae. The transcript has 3 exons.